Molecule: ribosomal RNA, 250 nt
Filed under: uncultured bacterium
Lineage: Bacteria
Description: partial 16S ribosomal RNA
Rfam family: Bacterial small subunit ribosomal RNA
Source: RNAcentral
GAUCAUGGCUCAGGAUGAACGCUGGCGGCGUGCUUAACACAUGCAAGUCGAACGAGAGAUGGAGACGGAAACCUUCGGGCGGAAGGCUUCAUUUCGAGUGGCGGACGGGUGAGUAACGCGUGGGUAACCUGCCUCAUACAGGGGGAUAACAGUUGGAAACGAUUGUUAAUACCGCAUAAGACCACAGCACCGCAUGGUGCGGGGGUAAAAACUCCGGUGGUAUGAGAUGGACCCGCGUUCGAUUAGCCAG